CAGUCCGUACUCCGAAUGCUCUAAUUAGAGUUGAUCAUGGCUCAGAGUCGAACGCUGGCGGUAGGCCUAACACAUGCAAGUCGAACGGCAGCACAGGAGAGCUUGCUCUUCUGGGUGGCGAGUGGCGGACGGGUGAGGAAUACAUCGGAAUCUACUCUGUCGUGGGGGAUAACGUAGGGAAACUUACGCUAAUACCGCCAUACUGACCUUAACGAGGUGAAAGUCAGGGGGACCUUCGGGCCUUUGCUGGCGUAUUGAAUGAGUCCGAUGUCGGNAUUAGGCCU
This 284-nucleotide ribosomal RNA is filed under the name uncultured bacterium. Its description in RNAcentral is "partial 16S ribosomal RNA". It matches the Rfam family "Bacterial small subunit ribosomal RNA", at positions 1 to 248 of the family's 1533-position model. The record is from RNAcentral.